This 2078-nucleotide ribosomal RNA is filed under the name Haemophilus influenzae. RNAcentral's name for it is "bacterial LSU rRNA". It matches the Rfam family "Bacterial large subunit ribosomal RNA", at positions 485 to 2331 of the family's 2925-position model. Lineage: Bacteria; Pseudomonadati; Pseudomonadota; Gammaproteobacteria; Pasteurellales; Pasteurellaceae. The record is from RNAcentral.
CGAUAGUGAACCAGUACUGUGAAGGAAAGGCGAAAAGAACCCCGGUGAGGGGAGUGAAAUAGAACCUGAAACCUUGUACGUACAAGCAGUGGGAGCCCCAUCACUUAAUCCGAUUGGAAGGUGAUGAAAAGCAACCGCACUUAAACAAUGGUAAGAGGAGCGAAGCGAGUCAAACCACCCAAAAAAAGAAGCAGUGGGAUUAAGUGAUGGGGUGACUGCGUACCUUUUGUAUAAUGGGUCAGCGACUUAUAUUUUGUAGCGAGGUUAACCGAAUAGGGGAGCCGAAGGGAAACCGAGUCUUAACUGGGCGAAUAGUUGCAAGGUAUAGACCCGAAACCCGGUGAUCUAGCCAUGGGCAGGUUGAAGGUUGGGUAACACUAACUGGAGGACCGAACCGACUAAUGUUGAAAAAUUAGCGGAUGACUUGUGGCUGGGGGUGAAAGGCCAAUCAAACCGGGAGAUAGCUGGUUCUCCCCGAAAUCUAUUUAGGUAGAGCCUUGAGGUGACACCUUUGGGGGUAGAGCACUGUUUCGGCUAGGGGGCCAUCCCGGCUUACCAACCCGAUGCAAACUACGAAUACCAAAGAGUGAUACUCAGGAGACACACGGCGGGUGCUAACGUCCGUCGUGGAGAGGGAAACAACCCAGACCGCCAGCUAAGGUCCCAAAGUCUAUAUUAAGUGGGAAACGAAGUGGGAAGGCUUAGACAGCUAGGAUGUUGGCUUAGAAGCAGCCAUCAUUUAAAGAAAGCGUAAUAGCUCACUAGUCGAGUCGGCCUGCGCGGAAGAUGUAACGGGGCUGAAAUAUAGCACCGAAGCUGCGGCAUCAGGCGUAUCACUAAUACGCCUUACGAUUAACAAGCUAGAAUGGCACGAAGCGUCAUGAAAGGUUGUUCAAGCAACCCGAACGUUGAGUCGGCACAUUUUUGAAGUAAGGAUUAUUAGUGAUACGCCUGUUGGGUAGGGGAGCGUUGUGUAAGCGGAAGAAGGUUCAUCGAGAGGUGGGCUGGACGUAUCACAAGUGCGAAUGCUGACAUAAGUAACGAUAAAACGGGUGAAAAACCCGUUCGCCGGAAGACCAAGGGUUCCUGUCCAACGUUAAUCGGGGCAGGGUGAGUCGGCUCCUAAGGCGAGGCUGAAAAGCGUAGUCGAUGGGAAACAGGUUAAUAUUCCUGUACUUGGUAAAGCUGCGAUGUGGGGACGGAGUAGGUUAGGUUAUCGCACUGUUGGAUAUGUGCGUUUAAGUUGGUAGGUGGGAAGUUUAGGCAAAUCCGGACUUCCUUAACACAGAGAGAUGAUGACGAGGCUCUACGGAGCUGAAGUAACUGAUACCACACUUCCAGGAAAAGCCACUAAGCGAAAGGCUUUACUAAACCGUACUGAAAACCGACACAGGUGGUCAGGUAGAGAAUACUCAGGCGCUUGAGAGAACUCGGGUGAAGGAACUAGGCAAAAUAGCACCGUAACUUCGGGAGAAGGUGCGCUUACAGUAAUUGUAGUCCCUUACGGAUGAAGGUGAAGUAAGUCGAAGUGACCCGCUGGCUGCAACUGUUUAUUAAAAACACAGCACUCUGCAAACACGAAAGUGGACGUAUAGGGUGUGAUGCCUGCCCGGUGCUGGAAGGUUAAUUGAUGGUGUAAUCGAAAGAGAAGCACCUGAUCGAAGCCCCAGUAAACGGCGGCCGUAACUAUAACGGUCCUAAGGUAGCGAAAUUCCUUGUCGGGUAAGUUCCGACCUGCACGAAUGGCAUAAUGAUGGCCAGGCUGUCUCCACCCGAGACUCAGUGAAAUUGAAAUCGCCGUGAAGAUGCGGUGUACCCGCGGCUAGACGGAAAGACCCCGUGAACCUUUACUAUAGCUUGACACUGAACAUUGAAUUUUGAUGUGUAGGAUAGGUGGGAGCCUUUGAAGCAGUGACGCCAGUCAUUGUGGAGGCGAGCUUGAAAUACCACCCUUUAACGUUUGAUGUUCUAACGAAGAUGACGAAACGUGGUCUCGGACAGUGUCUGGUGGGUAGUUUGACUGGGGCGGUCUCCUCCCAAAGCGUAACGGAGGAGCACGAAGGUUUGCUAAUCACGGU